RNAcentral lists this ribosomal RNA (1366 nucleotides) under metagenome. RNAcentral describes it as "bacterial SSU rRNA". It matches the Rfam family "Eukaryotic small subunit ribosomal RNA", at positions 397 to 1719 of the family's 1831-position model. The record is from RNAcentral.
UGAGAAACAGCUACUACUUCUAAGGGAGGCAGCAGGCGCGAAAAUUAUCCAAUGCCAACUCGGCGAGAUAGUGAAGACAUGUAACAACGAAGUCCUCAUUGAGGGCAUCGAUUGGAAUGAGUUACGUACAAAAUACGUAGCGAGGAUCAAAUGGAGGAAAAGUCUGGUGCCAGCACCCGCGGUAAUUCCAGCUCCAUUAGUGUAACUUAGCGUUGUUGCGGUUGAAAAGCUCGUAGUCGGAAGUUGAGCAGUGUUGUGGCACGGCCCACCGAUCUGGUGAGAACGGCUCAGGCUGCUCUCUGCUUGUAUGCAUUGGUCCGCACUUAAGUGGGUGGAUCAGGUGGCUGCAAGCCGUAUACUGUGAAGAAAUCAGAGCGCUCAAAGCAGGCUUGUGCCUGAAUGCGUUAGCAUGGCAUAUUAAAAGAGGGCGUCACGUGAUUUUGCUUGGAGGGCAUGUGAUGCAAUGAUCAAUGGGAAUGUUGGGGGCUGUCGGUACUGCUGGGCGAGCGGUGAAAUGUGUCGACCCUAGCAAGACCAUCAGAGGCGAAAGCUGUCAGCUAGUUCAUUUCCGUCGAUCAAGAACGAAAGUUUGGGGAUCGAAGAUGAUCAGAUACCGUCGUAGUCCCAACUGUAAACUAUGGCGACCAAGAUUCAGGAAAUGCCCACGAUGGCUUUCUUGGGACUUUGAGAGAAAUCAGAGUUCUUGGCCUCCGGGGGGAGUAUGGUCACAAGGCUGAAACUUAAAAGAAUUGACGGAAGCACACCACCAGGAGUGGAGUCUGCGGCUUAAUUCGACCCAACACGGGGAAUCUUACCGAAACAGGACAUAGUUAGGAUUGACAGAUUAACGGGAUCUUUCUUGAUUCUAUGGGUGGUGGUGCAUGGCCGAUCUUAGUCGGUGAGGUGACUUGUCUGGUUAAUUCCGUUAACGGACGAGACCUUGGUCUAUUAAAUAGGAGGAGCAACGGCUGAAAAGGCUGAAGGGUUUGGGCGGAUUUGUGUCCCUGUGACCUGCUUCCUGGAACCGGAUGCUUAGCCAGUUGACUCUUAUCUUCUUAGGGAGUGCAGUCGCGUUUUAUAUUAUGAAGCGGCAUUAGGUACAAGACAAUAUCAGGUCUGUGAUGCCCUUAGAUGUUUCGGGCGGCACGCGGAUUACACUGACAGCAGCAUCGAGUUCCUUAGCCGAGAGGUUUGGGUAAUCUUAAUCGCUGUCGUGAUGGGGAUUGGCCAUUGUAAUUAGGGGCCAUGAACGAGGAAUUCCUUGUAGGCGCGGAUCAUCAAUUCGCACCGAAUACGUCCCUGUGCUUUGUACACACCGCCCGUCGCUUCUACCGAUUGAGUUGUCCGGUGAACUUUUUAGACAAGU